AGCUUUGCGCAGUGGCAGUAUCGUAGCCAAUGAGGUUUAUCCGAGGCGUGAUUAUUGCUAAUUGAAAACAAUAAAAACUGCAAAAAAUCCUUAAAAAAUAUUUAGAUUUUAUUUGAGAGUUUUUGUUUUGCUUUAAUUAUU
Artibeus jamaicensis (Jamaican fruit-eating bat) is the source of this 141-nucleotide small nuclear RNA. RefSeq annotates it as U4 spliceosomal RNA. The record is from RefSeq and is a predicted model, not a curated record. The transcript has a single exon. Lineage: Eukaryota; Metazoa; Chordata; Mammalia; Chiroptera; Phyllostomidae.